Molecule: transfer RNA, 65 nt
Filed under: Ptecticus tenebrifer
Lineage: Eukaryota; Metazoa; Arthropoda; Insecta; Diptera; Stratiomyidae
Description: tRNA-His
Source: RNAcentral
GUUUAAAUAGUUUAAUAAAAAUAUUGAUUUGUGGUGUCAAAGAUAUGAAGAAUUCAUUUUAGACC